AUCUCAUCUCAAGGGUGGUACAUCCACUUACCUUUCAACCCCAAGGGGUUUCACAUCACAUCGCAAGAGACGAGGAUAAUCUUCCUACUCAAAAAAUAGAACAUCCCCAUGGGGGUGAAUAUCAACCAAAAAAAAAAAAAAA
Erythranthe guttata (spotted monkey flower) is the source of this 142-nucleotide non-coding RNA. Lineage: Eukaryota; Viridiplantae; Streptophyta; Magnoliopsida; Lamiales; Phrymaceae. The record is from RefSeq and is a predicted model, not a curated record.